GAUGAACGCUGGCGGCGUGCCUAAUACAUGCAAGUCGAGCGAACAGACGAGGAGCUUGCUCCUCUGACGUUAGCGGCGGACGGGUGAGUAACACGUGGAUAACCUACCUAUAAGACUGGGAUAACUUCGGGAAACCGGAGCUAAUACCGGAUAAUAUAUUGAACCGCAUGGUUCAAUAGUGAAAGACGGUUUUGCUGUCACUUAUAGAUGGAUCCGCGCCGCAUUAGCUAGUUGGUAAGGUAACGGCUUACCAAGGCAACGAUGCGUAGCCGACCUGAGAGGGGUAUCGGCCACACUGGAACUGAGACACGGGCCAGAACCCUAAGGGAGGCAGGAGUAGGGAAUCUUCCGCAAAGGGCGAAAGCCUGACGGAGCAACGGCGCGUGGGUGAAGAAGGUCUUCGGAUCGGAAAACUCUUUUAUUAGGGAAGAACAAAUGUGUAAGUAACUAUGCACGUCUUGACGGUACCUAAUCAGAAAGCCACGGCUAACUACGU
Molecule: ribosomal RNA, 496 nt
Filed under: uncultured bacterium
Lineage: Bacteria
Description: partial 16S ribosomal RNA
Rfam family: Bacterial small subunit ribosomal RNA
Source: RNAcentral